Molecule: small RNA, 70 nt
Filed under: Arabidopsis thaliana (thale cress)
Lineage: Eukaryota; Viridiplantae; Streptophyta; Magnoliopsida; Brassicales; Brassicaceae
Description: ATSL052890
Source: RNAcentral
CAUGGAACAUAGAAUGGUUCUUUUGUUUUAAUAGGACUUGAACGAAACGGAUGACCAUAUAUUGAAUGAU